This 104-nucleotide unclassified non-coding RNA is filed under the name uncultured fungus. Its description in RNAcentral is "sequence contains ITS1". Lineage: Eukaryota; Fungi. The record is from RNAcentral.
AUGAAGACAAAAGGCGCCUCUUUGAGGGUCUCUCUCUUCAUAACACUGUGCAUUGUUAUUUUAAUACUAUGUAAAGUAAAAGUAUGUAUUGUAUUAUAAAUAUA